Molecule: long non-coding RNA, 4743 nt
Organism: Bombus huntii
Lineage: Eukaryota; Metazoa; Arthropoda; Insecta; Hymenoptera; Apidae
Exons: 2
Source: RefSeq, a predicted model, not a curated record
AUAAGUUAGAGAUCUAUCUUGUUUAAUUCUACGCUACAAGAACCUUUUAAUUGUACGGUUAGAUGGAAAAAUUUAUAUCUACUUUUCUAUUCGAGAUGGACAAGUAUAAGAAUCACAAAAAUCGCGCAAUAAUUAGAUUAAUUGUAAGUUGCCUAAGAAAGAGAAAUUAAUUGUUUACUAUAUUGUAGCGGCUAACUACGCUAACAAAGAAGAAAUUGUCGUGUAAACGGCUAGCACGGUUUAUGACUGAAAAUCUAUUUUUGAGAAAGCCAUGAUUUCCAAGAAAGAACAUUUCAUAAGGCAUGAUUCUUUAAAGUUUUUCAGUACGGCCUCAAUAGCAAAUUGGUGGUGUCACAAACCCGUUUCGUCACCAACAUCUCCUAGUAACAAUACUCCCACCAAACGUGCUGCUGAAAAUACGCGAAGUUUCCACGGAGAAAAAAUAGUCAGAUGGAGUAUACUCCAUUGCGUAUAGAUGUAACCAUUUUCAGUAAAAGUUAAAUGUUAGAAGCUGACCUAUAUUGAACACGUCUCUGAUCUACCUUACAAUAUUUUUGUUAGAGAAAACAAGAGAAUAUUCCCUUUCAACCGAUAAUGGAUCAGUAGAAUAAUUCAAUAAUUUUAAUAUGUUUUCUAUACACCAUUCAGACAUUAACAUUAACAUUAACAUUAACCCUUGGCACUCGGCAUGCCAAUUAUAUUGGCAUGAAUAUUUUUUAAGGCACUUUGCCGGUUUUACAGCAUAGAGUUGAGCAGAAGCGCUGUUCUUUUGUUUAAGAGCAGGCAAAAACUGUUAUGUCGUUGAAGAAAGGGCCUUCACAAGAUUGCGGGAAAGCCCUUUGAGGGACUGCUGCUUUAUAAUGUACACGUCCCUCCAGAAUCAUCAGAUCCGCCGCAUGUGACCCAUGUUAAUAGAAACAACAAAUAGAUCUGGACCUUUCCGAUGGGUGAGUCAUGCAUCAUAAUGAUAUAAAUUAUUUACUAUUUAUGAUUGAAAUUUGCUGUCUGUUAUUUAUUUGUAUAUGUAUUAAAUUUAUUUGUUUGUAAAUUGGAAUGUUUGAUGAUUAAAUAGAUACAAACUAUUUUUCAGAUGGUUAAAUAAUAGUAAAAAACAAGAAAAUGUUUUAGAUAUGUUGAAAAACAUAAAUAAAAUCAUUAAAUUUUAGUUUUCCGUCAAAUAUUAACAACCAAAUAUGUGUACUUUUCAUCAUUAUGAUACUAAGUGCUUAAUGUUAAUUAUGUAUUUAUUGUUUAUUCUUUUUUUGUUAUUCGUCAUUCGAAUAAAUUUUGGUUGCUAAUCGUAACAAGUUUACAAACUGACAAGCAGAAACAAUAGCGUAGCGAUCAACCGUUUGUGGUAUGGACUACGAUGCGGUUAGGGCUUGAUGGGCCUUUGUGACAUCGCCGAAAAAUUGCUCACGAGGCAUCUCCAUGCUAGUCCGUGCUAAAUCGGCCUUCAAGGCACUUGAACAUGGCUUCAGUGGAAACGGUCCCAUAUAUUUGUAUGAAACCAAUUUUUCAAAUAAUUUUCCAGUUUAGCUGGUCUAUAGGAACGGUUCCAUAUAAAUACAUUGGAGCAAAUUGUUUCAUUUUUGAUUGUUAAUGGAUCUUUAGCUUAAGGCUUACAUUUGUUUAAUAGGUGAUAAAAAUAGACACGAACAUGAUAUACCAUAGCAUACUAGCCCAUUGUUCUUUCUAUUUUUCUCGUGUCAUUACAUAUUGUUAUUUAUAAUGUUAAGCAUUUAAACAAAAGGCGGUCUUUGGAUACAAUCUCAGGUAAGCAAUCUAUUAAGCAUAUCUGCGUUAAAUUAUCAAUCUCAAGAUGUAUUAUAAGCCUUCAUAGAUUAAAUCUAUAGAUUAAGAGAAUUAUAGAUAGAUUCAGAGAAUUAAUAAGCUUUACUCAGUAAUGAAAGUAAGAUGGAUAAAUAUCAUAGAAAAAAAAUGUGUGAUGACCUCAAAUCUUAUGUACAGUUAGUUUAUACUUUUGUUUUUAUCAUUUUUAUAAACAAAUACGAAAGUAAAACAGAUAUAUCGCGCCAAAAAUAUUACUCGCAAACUAUCAACUACUAAAAUUACUACUAAAAUGAAAUUUAGGUUUUCUUAUAAUAAAAAUAUUAUCGCAAGGAAAAUAAAUUUAAUUUCAAAUCUAAAAAUUGUUAAAUCUAUUGUGUAUAAAGAAUUUUAUUAAAAUUAUUGUACAAUUGCACUAAUCCGUUGUUGUUUGAAAGGAAGGAUUUGCUUUUAUUUUCUAAAAAAAAAUAUUAUAAAUGAUUAAUUUCUCAUUCUUAGACAACUAAAUUUAAUUAUUACGCGAUUUUGUUAUUCUCAUACUUAUCUAUCUCAGAUAGAAAAGUAGAUAUGAACUUUUCCGUAAAACCGUGUAAUUAAAUAGGUUCUUCUAGCGUGGAACUAAAUAGGCUCUUGUUUACUCUAGUGUGGAACCAAUCAGAGCAGAUCCCUAACAUCGAAAUUAAAUAGUUAGAUUCUUGUAUAUGCUGGCGUGCAAUCAAACAGGAAAGAUUUCUUCUCCGGUUAUAGUUCCUAACACAUUGGUUUCUAGCUAAGGUUGCCUACCUGAAAUAUAAUAUCUAGUUGUUUUUUUUUUACAUAACUAGUAAAUUUUGCUUAAACCAGCGAAAUACUAUUAUUCGUUUUAUCAAUAUUGAAUUUCGGGAAUUCCUUUCAAUACCUAUUGACGUUCUACUUUUUUAAUUAUAUUUUAAAAUAUAUGAAUUUGCAUGAAAAUUCGCAGUAUAGUUACCAACUUUCAUAUCUAAAAUAUAACAUCUGAGUUUGCACUGCAAUCAAUGUGAGAUAUAUAUAAGUGCUUCUGACAGUGCUGAAAAUUAACAAUUUUAAUUUACUGUUUUGUCAAACCACCAGAAAUAUAAAUAAAUAAAUAAAUUCUUGACAUCAAAAGAUAAAGUUGCAAUAAUGUUUAUGGGUCUUGCUGUUACAAAAAAUUGUGUGAAUACAGAACAUGUAGAAGAAUUUAUAGAUUUUCAUAUUAAAUAUUCAUUUUAUUUCAUUCUAAGUAUAUUCUGAUUGUACUUGUGGAAAUAAUAGAAAUGGAAAUAUUUUAACUCAUAUUAUAAUAUUAAUUAUGACAUAUUUCUUAUUUUAGUUUUCCCAAUUCUGCAAAAAAAUCAUUUUGAUGUUUGAUUUUAAUAAAGAAGCAGAUAUUAUUUUACAAUUUCAAACAGGUACAAUUGCAAAUAGCCUUUCUGCAGACAACAUUAUAUUAAGGGACCGACACGCCGAGGAGGAUCUGGAUCUCCUUAGACUUGCACAACGGCCCAGGGGAUAGCAUUGAGACGGAUGGUCCCUCCCAAUGCCCGAACUAACCAAGGAACGACUCCCUCAGACAGGAGAAGACGCAGCAGUGCUCCAGCAGUAAUUCGAAAGAGGUUCUGGGGCAUCCCAGCCGAGUGUCAAGUGGUCCACCUUGGGGUUUUAGUCGGUAAAGUCCGACACUACCUAUACUACACUUCCCAGAAGAGCAGGCGGCGGGAGUGUCCAUGAGGAUUUCCCCACGUAUAAAAAAAACAACAUUAUAUUAAUUAUAAUAUAAACAUAUAUUUUAAUUUCAUUAUACAAAUUAAUAUACAUAAUUUAGUUUUAUAAUCUUAUUAUUUUAAAUCAAAGUCAAUUAUUUCAACAAUUCUUAAAAUUAAUGAAAUCUUUGUUAGACAUGUGCAUGAGAUUUCAUCUAUUAGACUGUCUAUUUUUAUAAUACAUUAUUAUGGAUCAUUGUUGAAUUUAUCGUAUUAUUAAUAAAGAUUAAUAAUCAACACAUAACAUUUGAUAAGGCCACAUCAAAUUUGAAAUUUUAUGUACCAGCACCAGCAAAACCAUUUUCAUGUUAUAGUUACUUGGUAAAAAAGUAUCAAUUGCUUCAAAUGUAAAAAUAAGAAGAAAUUAUGAAGCAAGGAAUCAUUCAUAUGUAUUAUAUUGCAGGUAAUCAAAAGUUUCAGACAAAAACUAACUGGGUCGUUAGAACUAAUGGGAAUUUGGUGCAAGUCGGUUUAUUCUAGAACAGCAAGUAAUAAAAAUUGUUCUUGUACCGUGAACGACCAAGGUUGCUCGUUAGUAUUUUCGGAAGUAAGUAAAUUUUUAUUUUUUUGUUAUUUUCCUAAUAUCUGAUAAAAUUUUUGAGAUUCGCCUUGAUCGCUGUAAUAAAAAUAAAAUCCUAUAGCAGAGUGUGAGUAUUAAUAUAGCGUAAGGCAGCCAGCAACCAAUAUUGACGCAUGCACUGCCACAAAUGUACAAUUGUAUCCAAAAUUCACUGUAGUAGUAGCGACUGUAUUUUGCAAAUAUCUCGGAAAUUAAGGCUGACCGCCAGUAAUAUGUAUAAAAAGAGAUCGUUCUUAAUCAUGCCCUCCAUCACAUAUUAAAAAAUCAUCGAAAUCGAUGAGGUUUUCUUUUAUACAUUUUCCGUAACUUUUUGUAAUACAUACAUUGAUUUUUCCUGCAUUAUUGUUUCAAAAUUCCUCAAAAUUCAGAUUUUAAAAUAAUUAUACUUCUCGAAGCCGUUGCGAAUGUGCAUGCAAUUUUCUAAAAGAUUAUAACAAAAAAUUCAAAACUAUGUAAUAACUUUCUUUUAUAUUUAUAUAUUGCAAAAAUAUUUAUUUUUAAACAAAUUACUACCUUUUUUAAACUUUCCUUCGAAUUUUUAUUUUUGUUAACAACUCUUUAAAUAAAUAAUAAAAUAAGUAUUUAAGUAAUAAAAAAUAAAAAUAAGUA